AAAUUGAAGAGUUUGAUCAUGGCUCAGAUUGAACGCUGGCGGCAGGCCUAACACAUGCAAGUCGAACGGUAACAGGAAGCAGCUUGCUGCUUUGCUGACGAGUGGCGGACGGGUGAGUAAUGUCUGGGAAACUGCCUGAUGGAGGGGGAUAACUACUGGAAACGGUGGCUAAUACCGCAUAACGUCGCAAGACCAAAGAGGGGGACCUUCGGGCCUCUUGCCAUCAGAUGUGCCCAGAUGGGAUUAGCUUGUUGGUGAGGUAACGGCUCACCAAGGCGACGAUCCCUAGCUGGUCUGAGAGGAUGACCAGCCACACUGGAACUGAGACACGGUCCAGACUCCUACGGGAGGCAGCAGUGGGGAAUAUUGCACAAUGGGCGCAAGCCUGAUGCAGCCAUGCCGCGUGUAUGAAGAAGGCCUUCGGGUUGUAAAGUACUUUCAGCGGGGAGGAAGGUGUUGUGGUUAAUAACCACAGCAAUUGACGUUACCCGCAGAAGAAGCACCGGCUAACUCCGUGCCAGCAGCCGCGGUAAUACGGAGGGUGCAAGCGUUAAUCGGAAUUACUGGGCGUAAAGCGCACGCAGGCGGUCUGUCAAGUCGGAUGUGAAAUCCCCGGGCUCAACCUGGGAACUGCAUUCGAAACUGGCAGGCUUGAGUCUUGUAGAGGGGGGUAGAAUUCCAGGUGUAGCGGUGAAAUGCGUAGAGAUCUGGAGGAAUACCGGUGGCGAAGGCGGCCCCCUGGACAAAGACUGACGCUCAGGUGCGAAAGCGUGGGGAGCAAACAGGAUUAGAUACCCUGGUAGUCCACGCCGUAAACGAUGUCUACUUGGAGGUUGUGCCCUUGAGGCGUGGCUUCCGGAGCUAACGCGUUAAGUAGACCGCCUGGGGAGUACGGCCGCAAGGUUAAAACUCAAAUGAAUUGACGGGGGCCCGCACAAGCGGUGGAGCAUGUGGUUUAAUUCGAUGCAACGCGAAGAACCUUACCUGGUCUUGACAUCCACGGAAGUUUUCAGAGAUGAGAAUGUGCCUUCGGGAACCGUGAGACAGGUGCUGCAUGGCUGUCGUCAGCUCGUGUUGUGAAAUGUUGGGUUAAGUCCCGCAACGAGCGCAACCCUUAUCCUUUGUUGCCAGCGGUUAGGCCGGGAACUCAAAGGAGACUGCCAGUGAUAAACUGGAGGAAGGUGGGGAUGACGUCAAGUCAUCAUGGCCCUUACGACCAGGGCUACACACGUGCUACAAUGGCGCAUACAAAGAGAAGCGACCUCGCGAGAGCAAGCGGACCUCAUAAAGUGCGUCGUAGUCCGGAUUGGAGUCUGCAACUCGACUCCAUGAAGUCGGAAUCGCUAGUAAUCGUGGAUCAGAAUGCCACGGUGAAUACGUUCCCGGGCCUUGUACACACCGCCCGUCACACCAUGGGAGUGGGUUGCAAAAGAAGUAGGUAGCUUAACCUUCGGGAGGGCGCUUACCACUUUGUGAUUCAUGACUGGGGUGAAGUCGUAACAAGGUAACCGUAGGGGAACCUGCGGUUGGAUCACCUCCUUACCUUAAAGAA
RNAcentral lists this ribosomal RNA (1552 nucleotides) under Salmonella enterica. RNAcentral describes it as "bacterial SSU rRNA". It matches the Rfam family "Bacterial small subunit ribosomal RNA". RNAcentral also lists the same sequence under 2 other names. The record is from RNAcentral. Lineage: Bacteria; Pseudomonadati; Pseudomonadota; Gammaproteobacteria; Enterobacterales; Enterobacteriaceae.